GGGAAGGUGGCUCAGUGGUAGAGCACUUGCCUUUCAUGCAUGAGGCCCUGGGUUCGAUUCCUCAGCACUACCU
This is a non-coding RNA of Dipodomys ordii (Ord's kangaroo rat), 73 nucleotides long. The record is from Rfam. NCBI's taxonomy places the organism in Eukaryota, Metazoa, Chordata, Mammalia, Rodentia, Heteromyidae.